Molecule: ribosomal RNA, 463 nt
Filed under: uncultured bacterium
Lineage: Bacteria
Description: partial 16S ribosomal RNA
Rfam family: Bacterial small subunit ribosomal RNA
Source: RNAcentral
GACGAACGCUGGCGGCGUGCUUAACACAUGCAAGUCGAACGGAAAGGCCUUUUCGGAGGUACUCGAGUGGCGAACGGGUGCGUAACACGUGGGUGAUCUGCCCUGCACUCUGGGAUAAGCCUGGGAAACUGGGUCUAAUACCGGAUAGGACCGCACUUUAGUGUGUGUGGUGGAAAGUUUUUUCGGUGUAGGAUGAGCCCGCGGCCUAUCAGCUUGUUGGUGGGGUAAUGGCCUACCAAGGCGGCGACGGGUAGCCGGACUGAGAGGUUGGUCGGCCACAUUGGGACUGAGAUACGGCCCAGGCUCCUACGGGAGGCAGCAGUGGGGAAUAUUGCACAAUGGGCGCAAGCCUGAUGCAGCGACGCCGCGUGGGGGAUGACGGCCUUCGGGUUGUAAACUCCUUUCGCCAGGGACGAAGCGUUUUGUGACGGUACCUGGAGAAGAAGCACCGGCUAACUACGUG